RNAcentral lists this long non-coding RNA (274 nucleotides) under Panax ginseng (ginseng). Its description in RNAcentral is "long non-coding RNA (PGIN_LNC000475)". Lineage: Eukaryota; Viridiplantae; Streptophyta; Magnoliopsida; Apiales; Araliaceae. The record is from RNAcentral.
CUCGAGAUUGUACUAUAGCGAAACCAAGUUCAGCGGGAGUGGUGAUUCCAAGGGCUGUCUCGGAUAAGUCGAAAUCAGCGGUUCCUGGAAGAGCGUUUGUCGUGACCGGUCAAAAUGCGAGGAACCCGAACAAGUUUAGCACGAGUUAGUUAAUUAUAAUUCUUGCGAAGUUUAUACCUUACUAGAUACCGGUUCUACCCAUUCUUUUAUCUCUCUUGCUUGCGCUCAACGUUUGAACUUGACUACGGAGAAAUUAGACUUUGACCUAUUAUUG